AGAUUCUAUAAUUUUGGAUCCACCAGUCUUUAUAGACUUGUGAUAUUUUUAUCAGAUUUUGUAGCAAUUUUGGCUCUUAACAUAUCAAAUGGAAAAUAAUUUGUGAUUUUUUUUAUCAGUAUAACAUUUCUGCAACUGUAACUUUUGGUAGAGGAAUUUACAGGAGCAGAGUUUCCCCUAAUUGCCUCAAAGCACUCAACAAUAAAUCCACCUUGACAUUUACCAUCAGGAAUUUUUCAAACUUUGGUUAUGCAACGGAAAUCAUUUCCAGAUGCACUGUGCUGCUUAUCCCAUUCUUUUUUCCCUCUUCUACAUUAUCAGAGAUUGAAGAGGUAGAGGGAAUCCGCGACUGACUUGGCAAGCUCUGGACCAAACUGUCCUCUUCUUUUAUACUUGAUAACUUCCAUGUAAAGUUUCAAGAACAAGAUCCUGGGUACCUGUGGAUCAUGGAAACCAGGAGAGAAAUCAUCAGAAAUUUUCACAAAUUCAGUGUGGAGAGCAUGGUGCUAGCCCAGAGAUCAAUUCAGUCAUGGAGAAAUACUAAGAAACCUGUCAUCAAAUCAGAGAUAGAGAAGUCUUAUGACCAGGUAGAGACUGAUUUCUUGACUCUCUCUACGUUUGGAAUCUGAUCCGUUCUGGAAAUGGUGUUGGGACUGGGAUCAGGAAGAUCUGACUGAAUUCAAAUAAGCCUCAGACAAUUACUAAGCUAUGUGACUAUGAGCAAGUUGCUUUAAUCUCUGGUUGCCUCAGUUUCUUAGUUUAUAAAUUCUUCAUUUGUCAAAUGAUAUAUAAGGUAUAAUGUAAAAUGUAUAAUGUAAAAUGAAAAAUAAUAACAUCUACUACCUCCCAAGGUUGGCAUGAGGAUCAAAUUAGACAAUAAUUGUAAGCACUUAGCACAGUGCCCAGUACAUUGUAAAUUCUACAUUUAUAAUAUAUAUUAGUUAUUAUUAUUUCUGUGAUAUUUAUUGUGUAAAUAAAACUGUUCUACAAUUUGAAGCCUUGUGAGUC
Molecule: long non-coding RNA, 1008 nt
Filed under: Monodelphis domestica (gray short-tailed opossum)
Lineage: Eukaryota; Metazoa; Chordata; Mammalia; Didelphimorphia; Didelphidae
Description: lncRNA (ENSMODG00000033315.2)
Source: RNAcentral